AAGAACUUCUUCCGCGAGAUCGCAUGGAAGAAGGUUCUUCCACAGUUGUAACAUUAACUGCGGAAGAACCUUCUUCCAUGCCAUCUCGUGGAAGAA
RNAcentral lists this microRNA precursor (96 nucleotides) under Glycine max (soybean). RNAcentral's name for it is "miR4365 stem-loop (gma-MIR4365)". The record is from miRBase by way of RNAcentral. Lineage: Eukaryota; Viridiplantae; Streptophyta; Magnoliopsida; Fabales; Fabaceae.